Molecule: ribosomal RNA, 495 nt
Filed under: uncultured bacterium
Lineage: Bacteria
Description: partial 16S ribosomal RNA
Rfam family: Bacterial small subunit ribosomal RNA
Source: RNAcentral
GACGAACGCUGGCGGCGUGCCUAAUACAUGCAAGUAGAACGCUGAAGGAGGAGCUUGCUUCUCUGGAUGAGUUGCGAACGGGUGAGUAACGCGUAGGUAACCUGCCUGGUAGCGGGGGAUAACUAUUGGAAACGAUAGCUAAUACCGCAUAAGAUUGACUAUUGCAUGAUAGUCAGUUAAAAGGUGCAAUUGCAUCACUACCAGAUGGACCUGCGUUGUAUUAGCUAGUUGGUGGGGUAACGGCUCACCAAGGCGACGAUACAUAGCCGACCUGAGAGGGGGGUCCGCCACACUGGGACUGGAGCACGGCCCAGACUCCUACGGGAGGCAGCAGUAGGGAAUCUUCGGCAAUGGACGGAAGUCUGACCGAGCAACGCCGCGUGAGUGAAGAAGGUUUUCGGAUCGUAAAGCUCUGUUGUAAGAGAAGAACGAGUGUGAGAGUGGAAAGUUCACACUGUGACGGUAUCUUACCAGAAAGGGACGGCUAACUACGUG